Molecule: ribosomal RNA, 429 nt
Filed under: Bacteroidota bacterium
Lineage: Bacteria; Pseudomonadati; Bacteroidota
Description: Bacteroidetes bacterium partial 16S ribosomal RNA
Rfam family: Bacterial small subunit ribosomal RNA
Source: RNAcentral
UAGGGAAUCUUCGGCAAUGGGGGGAACCCUGACCGAGCAACGCCGCGUGAGUGAAGAAGGUUUUCGGAUCGUAAAGCUCUGUUGUUAAGGAAGAACGAGUGUGAGAAUGGAAAGUUCAUGCUGUGACGGUACUUAACCAGAAAGGGACGGCUAACUACGUGCCAGCAGCCGCGGUAAUACGUAGGUCCCGAGCGUUGUCCGGAGUUAUUGGGCGUAAAGCGAGCGCAGGCGGUUAGAUAAGUCUGAAGUUAAAGGCAGUGGCUCAACCAUUGUAGUCUUUGGAAACUGUUUAACUUGAGUGCAGAAGGGGAGAGUGGAAUUCCAUGUGUAGCGGUGAAAUGCGUAGAUAUAUGGAGGAACACCGGUGGCGAAAGCGGCUCUCUGGUCUGUAACUGACGCUGAGGCUCGAAAACGUGGGGAGCGAACAGG